GACGAACGCUGGCGGCGUGCUUAACACAUGCAAGUCGAACGGAAAGGCCCUGCUUUUGUGGGGCGCUCGAGUGGCGAACGGGUGAGUAACACGUGAGUAACCUGCCCUUGACUUUGGGAUAACUUCAGGAAACUGGGGCUGAUACCGGAUAGGAGCUCCUGCUGCAUGGUGGGGGUUGGAAAGUUUCGGCGGUUGGGGAUGGACUCGCGGCUUAUCAGCUUGUUGGUGGGGUAGUGGCUUACCAAGGCUUUGACGGGUAGCCGGCCUGAGAGGGUGACCGGCCACAUUGGGACUGAGAUACGGCCCAGACUCCUACGGGAGGCAGCAGUGGGGAAUAUUGCACAAUGGGCGGAAGCCUGAUGCAGCAACGCCGCGUGCGGGAUGACGGCCUUCGGGUUGUAAACCGCUUUCGCCUGUGACGAAGCGUGAGUGACGGUAAUGGGUAAAGAAGCACCGGCUAACUACGUG
Molecule: ribosomal RNA, 468 nt
Filed under: uncultured bacterium
Lineage: Bacteria
Description: partial 16S ribosomal RNA
Rfam family: Bacterial small subunit ribosomal RNA
Source: RNAcentral